AUUGAACGCUGGCGGUAUGCCUAACACAUGCAAGUCGAACGGUAACAGGUCUUCGGAUGCUGACGAGUGGCGAACGGGUGAGUAAUACAUCGGAACGUGCCUAGUAGUGGGGGAUAACUACUCGAAAGAGUGGCUAAUACCGCAUGAGAUCUACGGAUGAAAGCAGGGGAUCGCAAGACCUUGUGCUACUAGAGCGGCCGAUGGCAGAUUAGGUAGUUGGUGGGAUAAAAGCUUACCAAGCCGACGAUCUGUAGCUGGUCUGAGAGGACGAUCAGCCACACUGGGACUGAGACACGGCCCAGACUCCUACGGGAGGCAGCAGUGGGGAAUUUUGGACAAUGGGCGCAAGCCUGAUCCAGCAAUGCCGCGUGCAGGAUGAAGGCCUUCGGGUUGUAAACUGCUUUUGUACGGAACGAAAAGCCCCGGGUUAAUACCCUGGGGUCAUGACGGUACCGUAAGAAUAAGCACCGGCUAACUACGUGCCAGCAGCCGCCGUAA
RNAcentral lists this ribosomal RNA (498 nucleotides) under uncultured bacterium. RNAcentral's name for it is "partial 16S ribosomal RNA". It matches the Rfam family "Bacterial small subunit ribosomal RNA", at positions 30 to 523 of the family's 1533-position model. The record is from RNAcentral.